UUUGAAAAAAGUAUCGAUUCUUUUAGGAAAAAGUAUCGAUUCAUUUAUGGAAAAGUUUCGAUUCAAUUUGGGAAAAGUAGCGAUUCUUUUUGUAAAAAGUAGCGAUUCACUUUGAAAAAAUAUCGAUUCAUCUUGGAAAAAGUAUCGAUUCUUUUUGGGAAAAGUAUCGAUUAAAUUUGGGAAAAGUAGCAAUUCACUUUGAAAAAAGUAGCGAUUCAAUUUGGGAAAAGUAGCGAUUCACUUUGGAAAAAGUAUCGAUUCUUUGUGGAAAAAGUAUCGAUUAAUUUUGGGAAAAGUAGCGAUUC
Rhinichthys klamathensis goyatoka is the source of this 305-nucleotide long non-coding RNA. RefSeq lists it as uncharacterized. The record is from RefSeq and is a predicted model, not a curated record. Lineage: Eukaryota; Metazoa; Chordata; Actinopteri; Cypriniformes; Leuciscidae. The transcript has 2 exons.